CAAUAAUUGAACUGGUGACAUGUUUCAUUCUUGGCUGAUCCUGCAUUCUUGUAUGCAGUGUGUCAACACGGAUUAUCACACACACAUUUAUGGAAACACUUGUUGUACAAACGAACAAGUCCAAACAUUGUACAUGUACACAAUGUACUACAUUAAAACCGCCUCACGCACAGCGGUGAGUAAACGCCAUGGCAACAGGACGGUGACGUUUCACUGAGGUCACCUGAACGCUGCUGGCCAUUCUGAAUUCACUUCUACUGUUGAACUUGACGAGUGUAGCUGUGUUACCUAAAGAGUUGAACGGUCUGAGGCCCAAUCCCGUGGAAAAUAACCUGUGGAGAAUAAAUUGUUGGAGAACCGACCAAAAGUACUAACGAGUGUUACGUGGAGGAGACGAUGUCUUCCAGUGGACCCCCUGCGGUGGAGCCCCUGCUGAGCAGAGUCAGACGGUGGAUCCUUGCCUUUGCAAGUGAACCCCUCUGGCCCCUGUUCGCUGACCGCCCUGUCGUCCAGAGGGCCCUCGACGACGUGGUUCUUCCGGAUUACGAGGACGAGCUGAAGGAGGCCGAGCCCACCAGAGGGGACGGUGAGCCACAGGUUCCUCCUCCUCCUCCCUUUGCUGCUCCCUACCCUGCUCCCUACUCUCACCCCUAUGCUGCUGCACGCUAUGCUGCUGCUCCCUACCCUGCUCCAUACCCUGCUCCCUAUGCUGCUCCCUCUUCUGCUGCUCCCUUUGCUGCUCCCUACCCUGCUCACUACCUUGCUCCUUACCCUGCUCCCUACUCUCACCCCUAUGCUGCUGCACGCUAUGCUGCUGCUCCCUACCCUGCUCCCUACUCUCACCCCUAUGCUACUGCUCGCUAUGCUGCUGCUCCCUACCCUGCUCCCUAUGCUGCUCCCUAUGCUGCUGCUCCCUUUGCUGCUCCCUACCCUGCUCGCUACGUUGCUCCUUACCCUGUUCCCUACUCUCACGCCUAUGCUGCUGCUCCCUAUGCUGCCGCUCCCUAUGCUGCUCCCUAUGCGGCUCCCUAUGCUGCUGCUCCCUAUGCUUAUGCUUUUGCUGCCUUUGCUGACCUUAACGCUGACCCUCACGCUGACCUUAACGCUGACCCUCACGCUGACCCUCAUGCUGACCUUAACGCUGUCCCUCAUGAUGGUGAUGAUGAUAUGAACGAUGAAAUUAACCGUAUGCUUCAAAGAUACAGGUUAGGGCUCCCCGAUGAGGAGGAGGACUCUGACAUUGAUGUCGUGGGUGAGUUUGCGUUACAGGUCCCUUUACUGGACAUUGAAGACAUCGGGCCAGUGCCCCCAGAAGACUCUUUUGAGGAGCUCCUGGAUGCAGAUGUUCUUGAAUCUCCCUCAACUUCUGGCCUCGACUCUUCGGCAAAACGGCGCAGGGACGAGAGCGACGGGGAGGAGUCUGCUGCGAAGAGGGCGCGUUAGUCUGAAGACAGCGACUCUGAUUGACAAUCCUCUGGGAAGCUUCGGAGCAACCACUGAGUCCACUUGCAGCAGGAACAGUGGUUGCCAUGGUAGCCUUUGCGUCUGGCAGGGCUAGUGUCCCCCAUGUAGCGUCUUGCAUUGGGGCUUUUCUGUAUUAUGUAGUCAUAUUUGCACAAGACAUCGGUCAACCUUUAUUUCAUCCUGAGGCCUUUGCGUCUGGCGGGGCUGUUGACCCCUUCUGCAGGUACUGGUAUCCUUUGCGUCUGGCAGGGCUUGUGUCCCCCAUGUAGCGUCUUGCUCUGGGGCUUUUCUUCUUCUUUGCGCGGUGGAUCGAUCAACUUUUCUUUCAUCCUGACGGCCGGCCUUUGCGACUGGCUUGGCCGGCGCUGCCUCAGGUAGCCUUUGCGUCUGGCAGAGGCGUUGACACGCCGAGCAUGUAGCCUUUGCGUCUGGCAGGGUUGAAGAAGACAAAAAUGCUUUUAUGUCUCGUUUUAUGCCUCCCCCUCCCCCACAGUGUCCACAUUCCUUUACAGGUUAAGAGUGAAGGUAUCAGUGAAAACUGACAAACAACAGAGUAAGUAGAACUCCCAAGGUUAGAAAUGCCUUCAUAUGGCCAAAUAUAGUGUAUGCCGUUAUGGAAAUUCAUAAUAUUCAAAUAUUUAUAAUUACUUCCCAUACUAAUCAUGUUUUUAUCCCAUUUGGCCGUGUGAAAAAGUAAGUACCAGCGUCUGUUUUGUUCAGACAGUGACCUAUAACAUGAAUACAAAGAAGUAAUAUGCAAAGAUAAUUUGCCCGUGCCACUUACCAUUAUGUGUUGUUACCUCUCUCACUUUGCCACCUGAGAUGCUGCUGUUCAAUGUGGACGAAAAAGGUAAGUAACUUAGAAUAAUCUGUAACCUACAGGCAACGUUAGAAGUAGGUUCUUUUAUUCUAUUGUAAAUCUGUUUAUGCACUUUGUAUGUUGACUCUAUUAUGCAAAUAUUGUUUUUACUAACCAAUACUUUAACCACGCUCCAACUGAGCUGCUGCUGUUCACCGAGGACCAAAAGGCCGCUACCUCUCGCUGUGGACUAAAAGAUGAGUAAGAGUAUCUGACUUCUGUAAUAUGUAUAUAAAGUAAUGUGUGUUAUUGUGUAAACUAGCUCUUUGUGCACCUCAGUAUCCUUAAACUGUCACUAAUUCAAUAACUCAAAGGUGUUUGUGCCCCAGACAGAAAAGUGUCAAUAGUGAAUGAUAACAUCAAUAUUUAGGUAUAUUUGCUGGCCUUUCUCACUAUGACGUCCACACAGGGAGCAGCAAAGGAGGAAGAGCCGGACUCCGGGUUCCUGCAGGACAUCCAGGGCUACACGUUGAACACUAAAAAGAAACGCCCACAUUCCACUCCCAGGACAAGAUGGAGAGCAGCUAAGUUGAACUACUUCCUGUUCUUCUGUUUCAGAGACUCAACUUCCUGCACUACAUCCAGGGUGACCAUGACGACAGAAGACAAUCGCUCACUCCCGACCAGGGCAGCACUCCUGUUUUAUCCUUUGGAAAUCCUCGUGGUCCUGAGAGUGGAUGUAAACAGAAGUGCAAGCAGCCGUCCACUCAGAACAUUUCUCCACCUCACUGUUUAGAUGAAGAAUUCAAUAAAACACUUCUCAUAGAACCCUUUUGUUUUGGGAGAUUUCUUUGGUUCAAUCUCAUGUUCAUGUGAACCUUUUGGAGCGUUGAAUCGGUCGCAGGUGUCAUGAAAUGCAUCCUGGUUUAAAUGGCCCUAAACCAGCUUUGGAUCUUUCA
Gasterosteus aculeatus aculeatus (three-spined stickleback) is the source of this 3222-nucleotide long non-coding RNA. Lineage: Eukaryota; Metazoa; Chordata; Actinopteri; Perciformes; Gasterosteidae. The record is from Ensembl.